This 392-nucleotide ribosomal RNA is filed under the name uncultured bacterium. RNAcentral's name for it is "partial 16S ribosomal RNA". It matches the Rfam family "Bacterial small subunit ribosomal RNA", at positions 523 to 917 of the family's 1533-position model. The record is from RNAcentral.
AUACGGAGGAUGCAAGCGUUAUCCGGAUUUAUUGGGUUUAAAGGGUGCGUAGGCGGUUUGCUAAGCGGGAGGUGAAAUGCCGGCGCUCAACGUCGGAAGUGCCUCCCGAACUGGUGGACUUGAAUGACUCUGCCGUGGGAGGAAUGUGUAGUGUAGCGGUGAAAUGCUUAGAGAUUACACAGAACACCGAUUGCGAAGGCAUCUCACGAAGGGUUGAUUGACGCUGAGGCACGAAAGCGUGGGGAUCAAACAGGAUUAGAUACCCUGGUAGUCCACGCAGUAAACGAUGACGGCUAACCGCUGGGCUUAUCAGUUCAGUGGCCAAGCGAAAGCGAUAAGCCAUCCACCUGGGGAGUACGACCGCGAGGUUGAAACUCAAAGGAAUUGACGGG